Molecule: unclassified non-coding RNA, 208 nt
Filed under: Hevea brasiliensis (rubber tree)
Lineage: Eukaryota; Viridiplantae; Streptophyta; Magnoliopsida; Malpighiales; Euphorbiaceae
Source: RNAcentral
AUAGUGAAGUAUACAAGGACAUAUAUAAAAGUGUUUCCAUUAUUAGAAUUGCAAACUUCAGAAGUUAUAUUGAAAAUCACACGGUCAAACUCAGCAUUUUGAAAAAAUUUUCUUUUAAGCUUCAUGGAACAAAAUUCCACUUUAAUUAUCCACUUAUUAGUGCAAGUUUCAAAGAAAUUCAAGUUAAACAGACAGACGUCAUAAUUAA